CAAACUUGAGGAAGAGAAGAAAGCAGAAGGCAGCACACUUCUUGAUUUCAAGCUUUACUAUAAGGUUAUAGUUAACAAAACGAAAAAGCAAGGAUAACGCUGGAAGAAUUUUGUUUAAAGAGGGUCCUAAGGGUCUUGGGUGAAGCAGCUGGUGAAAGAGAAGGUGGAAAAACACUUGAAGCUCUACCUGUGGAAGAGUCAGUUAUCACACCAAGGAGACACAGGAGCCACCAGCUUGGGCUGACAGGCACAAUAACCAUUUAUUCAAAGAUGCCAUCUAAUGCACUAUGCCACUAAGUACUGUGGCUGGACAGUGAUUUUAAGUGUAACAAAUUAUCUUCACUUUGAAAAGAGCUUAAGAGAGAGAAAACAAAUAUUACAUCUUAAACAGAGGCAUGAAUCAAACCAACUUAUGAACGGUGAAAGCAACUUAUCAAAAUGUCUUCGGACAUAUCAAGACUGACUUAAACCAUGUUCUGUGCCCUUUCUUUGUUGAGAAGAUAAACUGGAAAAUGCAAGCUAUUGUCCUUUGCCAAGGAUCGAAGAUCAAAA
This 552-nucleotide long non-coding RNA is filed under the name Homo sapiens (human). Its description in RNAcentral is "HSALNT0397075". The record is from RNAcentral. Lineage: Eukaryota; Metazoa; Chordata; Mammalia; Primates; Hominidae.